CCCUUAGAUGUUCUGGGCUGCACGCGCGCUACACUGAAGCUAUCAACACGUUUUCCCUCCAUGAGAAGGGCGGGUAACCUUUUGAAUCAGCUUCGUGGUAGGGAUCGGGGCUUGCAAUUGUUCCCCGUGAACCAGGAAUUCCUAGUAGACGCGAGUCAUAAGCUCGCAUCGAUUAAGUCCCUGCCCUUUGUACACACCGCCCGUCGCUACUACCGAUUGAACGUUUUAGUGAGGCAUUUGGACCGACGCAUCUCAGUUUAACCGCUGGUUUGUGUUGGAAAGACUUCCAAACUUGAGCGUUUAGAGGAAGUAAAAGUCGUAACA
Molecule: ribosomal RNA, 324 nt
Filed under: uncultured eukaryote
Lineage: Eukaryota
Description: partial 18S ribosomal RNA
Rfam family: Eukaryotic small subunit ribosomal RNA
Source: RNAcentral